Molecule: ribosomal RNA, 253 nt
Filed under: uncultured bacterium
Lineage: Bacteria
Description: partial 16S ribosomal RNA
Rfam family: Bacterial small subunit ribosomal RNA
Source: RNAcentral
UACAGGGGGUGCAAACGUUGCUCGGAAUUACUGGGCGUAAAGCGAGUGUAGGCGGUUUGGUUAGUCGGAUGUGAAAGCCCCGGGCUCAACCCGGGAAGUGCACUCGAUACUGCCAAGCUAGAGUAUCGGAGAGGUUGGUGGAAUUCUCGGUGUAGAGGUGAAAUUCGUAGAUAUCGAGAGGAACACCGGUGGCGAAGGCGGCCAACUGGACGAAUACUGACGCUGAGACUCGAAAGCGUGGGGAGCAAACAGG